RNAcentral lists this ribosomal RNA (253 nucleotides) under uncultured bacterium. Its description in RNAcentral is "partial 16S ribosomal RNA". It matches the Rfam family "Bacterial small subunit ribosomal RNA", at positions 524 to 776 of the family's 1533-position model. The record is from RNAcentral.
UACAGAGGGUGCGAGCGUUAAUCGGAAUUACUGGGCGUAAAGCGCGCGUAGGCGGCUUUGCAAGUCGGGUGUGAAAUCCCCAGGCUUAACCUGGGAACUGCAUUCGAGACUGCAUUGCUAGAGUAUGGGAGAGGGAAGUGGAAUUUCCGGUGUAGCGGUGAAAUGCGUAGAUAUCGGAAGGAACAUCAGUGGCGAAAGCGACUUCCUGGAUCAAUACUGACGCUCAUGUGCGAAAGCGUGGGGAGCAAACAGG